RNAcentral lists this ribosomal RNA (207 nucleotides) under Salibacterium salarium. RNAcentral describes it as "Bacillus salarius partial 16S ribosomal RNA". It matches the Rfam family "Bacterial small subunit ribosomal RNA", at positions 1 to 189 of the family's 1533-position model. Lineage: Bacteria; Bacillati; Bacillota; Bacilli; Caryophanales; Bacillaceae. The record is from RNAcentral.
UUUAUUGGAGAGUUUGAUCCUGGCUCAGGACGAACGCUGGCGGCGUGCCUAAUACAUGCAAGUCGAGCGCGGGAAGCAAUUGGAACCCUUCGGGGGAAAGAUUGUGGAACGAGCGGCGGACGGGUGAGUAACACGUGGGCAACCUACCUUUCAGACUGGGAUAACCCCGGGAAACCGGAGCUAAUACCAGAUAGCCCCAUCGAUCGC